This 464-nucleotide ribosomal RNA is filed under the name Vreelandella stevensii. RNAcentral describes it as "partial 16S ribosomal RNA". It matches the Rfam family "Bacterial small subunit ribosomal RNA", at positions 338 to 795 of the family's 1533-position model. Lineage: Bacteria; Pseudomonadati; Pseudomonadota; Gammaproteobacteria; Oceanospirillales; Halomonadaceae. The record is from RNAcentral.
CCUACGGGGUGCAGCAGUGGGGAAUAUUGGACAAUGGGCGAAAGCCUGAUCCAGCCAUGCCGCGUGUGUGAAGAAGGCCUUCGGGUUGUAAAGCACUUUCAGUGGGGAAGAAAGCCUUGGGGCUAAUACCCUCGAGGAAGGACAUCACCCACAGAAGAAGCACCGGCUAACUCCGUGCCAGCAGCCGCGGUAAUACGGAGGGUGCGAGCGUUAAUCGGAAUUACUGGGCGUAAAGCGCGCGUAGGCGGUCUGAUAAGCCGGUUGUGAAAGCCCCGGGCUCAACCUGGGAACGGCAUCCGGAACUGUCAGGCUAGAGUGCAGGAGAGGAAGGUAGAAUUCCCGGUGUAGCGGUGAAAUGCGUAGAGAUCGGGAGGAAUACCAGUGGCGAAGGCGGCCUUCUGGACUGACACUGACGCUGAGGUGCGAAAGCGUGGGUAGCAAACAGGAUUAGAUACCCUGGUGUC